Molecule: ribosomal RNA, 615 nt
Filed under: Penicillium sp.
Lineage: Eukaryota; Fungi; Ascomycota; Eurotiomycetes; Eurotiales; Aspergillaceae
Description: eukaryotic LSU rRNA
Rfam family: 5.8S ribosomal RNA (bases 221-374)
Source: RNAcentral
CCUUUUUACCUUCCGUUAGGGGUGACCUGCGGAAGGAUCAUUACCGAGUGAGGGCCCUCUGGGUCCAACCUCCCACCCGUGUUUAUCGUACCUUGUUGCUUCGGCGGGCCCGCCUCACGGCCGCCGGGGGGCAUCCGCCCCCGGGCCCGCGCCCGCCGAAGACACACAAACGAACUCUUGUCUGAAGAUUGCAGUCUGAGUACUUGACUAAAUCAGUUAAAACUUUCAACAACGGAUCUCUUGGUUCCGGCAUCGAUGAAGAACGCAGCGAAAUGCGAUAAGUAAUGUGAAUUGCAGAAUUCAGUGAAUCAUCGAGUCUUUGAACGCACAUUGCGCCCCCUGGUAUUCCGGGGGGCAUGCCUGUCCGAGCGUCAUUGCUGCCCUCAAGCACGGCUUGUGUGUUGGGCUCUCGCCCCCCGCUUCCGGGGGGCGGGCCCGAAAGGCAGCGGCGGCACCGCGUCCGGUCCUCGAGCGUAUGGGGCUUCGUCACCCGCUCUGUAGGCCCGGCCGGCGCCCGCCGGCGAACACCAUCAAUCUUAACCAGGUUGACCUCGGAUCAGGUAGGGAUACCCGCUGAACUUAAGCAUAUCAAUAAGCCGGAGGAAAUGUGAGUGG